This is a long non-coding RNA of Solanum dulcamara, 602 nucleotides long. RefSeq lists it as uncharacterized. The transcript is spliced from 2 exons. The record is from RefSeq and is a predicted model, not a curated record. Lineage: Eukaryota; Viridiplantae; Streptophyta; Magnoliopsida; Solanales; Solanaceae.
UAUUGUACUGCAAUAACACAUAAUUCUCUUAUAUUAUCUUUUUUCAUAUAAUUAGUAGUAUAAUAUCACUAAAGUAUUAUUACAAAUGGCUCGCAGUUAUGCUUUCCAUUUCAUUGUUGCGCUAAUGGUGAUAGCUGUGUAUAUGGCUCAAUCUCCAAAAGUGAAAAUAGCCGCUGCGAGAGACGUGUCGAUGAUCAAUGAAAUAUUAACUGGUCAUAACUUGAUGGGUGGUUGCGGUGGAUAUUGCCGACGAAGCACUGACUGCUAUUCUAGGGCGUGCCCCUAUUGUUACUACGAUGUUAUUAAACAUACCUACGGCUGCCAUGCUUGAAAGAUCCAUCAUUCAUGGCCAACACAAUCUCAACUCUCUUGCUUAUGUAAUAUAUAUGUUUUUGUGGUUUAGUUUGAUUGUCUUUGAUUUUGUGUUUUCCUUUUCCAAUUUUACUAUUUAAUUAUGUGGAAAAAAUAAAACGACCAAGUGAUCUACUUCUACCUAGAUCAUGAUAAUGUCCCAUGUAACAUAAAGAUGGGUGCGUGUUGGCCUAUAUUUGUACUUUUAAUUCUGAAUGAAUAAAACUGUGUGAUCCGUUUGCUUAUCAAAA